Nitrosococcus halophilus is the source of this 28-nucleotide non-coding RNA. The record is from Rfam. Lineage: Bacteria; Pseudomonadati; Pseudomonadota; Gammaproteobacteria; Chromatiales; Chromatiaceae.
GUUCGCCGCCGCGUAGGCGGUUUAGAAA